GCAAACUUGGUCAUUUAGAGGAAGUAAAAGUCGUAACAAGGUUUCCGUAGGUGAACCUGCGGAAGGAUCAUUACUGAGUGCGGGCCCUCUGGGUCCAACCUCCCACCCGUGUUUACCGUACCUAGUUGCUUCGGCGGGCCCGCCGUUCACGGCCGCCGGGGGGCAUCUGUCCCCGGGCCCGCGCCCGCCGAAGACACCCUCGAACGCUGUCUGAAGGUUGCAGUCUGAGCUUGAUUAGCAAAUCAAUCAAAACUUUCAACAACGGAUCUCUUGGUUCCGGCAUCGAUGAAGAACGCAGC
Molecule: unclassified non-coding RNA, 299 nt
Filed under: uncultured fungus
Lineage: Eukaryota; Fungi
Description: partial contains small subunit ribosomal RNA, internal transcribed spacer 1, and 5.8S ribosomal RNA
Rfam family: Eukaryotic small subunit ribosomal RNA (bases 1-73)
Source: RNAcentral